UCCGAAUGCCGCGUAAUCGAUUAUCGGGAGUCAGACUGCACGAGAUAAGUUGGGCGGUCAAAAGGGAAAGAGCCCAGACCUUCAGUUAAGGUCCCCAAGUGCGCGUUAAGUGGAAAAGGAUGUGGGAUUUCGAAGACAACCAGGAUGUUGGCUCAGAAGCAGCCAUCCAUUCAAAGAGUGCGUAAUAGCUCACUGGUCGAGAGGUCCUGCGCCGAAAAUGUCCGGGGCUGAAACGCGCCACCGAAACUAAGGAACCGAAAGGUUGGUAGAGGAGCAUUGCAUGCGGGAAGAAGCAGUACCGUAAGGAGCUGUGGACUGCAUGGAAGAGAGAAUGCCGGAAUGAGUAGCGAGAAUAAGGUGGGAAUCCUUAUGGCCGAAUAUCCAAGGUUUCCAGAGUAAAGCUGAUCUGCUCUGGGUAAGUCGGGGCCUAAGGCGAGGACGAGAGUCGUAGCCGAUGGACAACAGGUGGAGAUUCCUGUACUGCGGUAUGACAGAACUGUGGGGACACGUAAGGAAAGCGGAAGCCGGGAAUGGAAAGCCCGGUGCAAGCGGGGUACCAGUCACUUUGGCAAAUCCGGGUGGCAAUGGGAAGCCGUGAUGCGGAGCGAAAUAAAGUAGCGAAGUCCGUGAGCCAUGCGUCAAGAAAAGCCGCUAUCGUUUAUACCGUACCCGUACCGUAAACCGACACAGGUGGAUGAGGAGAGAAUCCUAAGGCCGGCGGAAGAAGCAUUGUCAAGGAACUCGGCAAAAUGGCCCCGUAACUUAGGGAUAAGGGGUGCCUGGGAAACCAGGCCGCAGAGAAUAGGCUCAAGCAACUGUUUAGCAAAAACACAGGUCUAUGCGAAACCGAAAGGUGAGGUAUAUGGGCUGACGCCUGCCCGGUGCUGGAAGGUUAAGAGGAGAGGUUAGCGCAAGCGAAGCUUUGAAUUUAAGCCCCAGUAAACGGCGGCCGUAACUAUAACGGUCCUAAGGUAGCGAAAUUCCUUGUCGGGUAAGUUCCGACCCGCACGAAAGGCGUAAUGAUUUGAGCGCUGUCUCGACAAUGCAUCCGGUGAAAUUGAAGUACCAGUGAAGAUGCUGGUUACCUGCGCCAGGACGGAAAGACCCCAUGGAGCUUUACUCCAGUCUGGUACUGGGACUCGGUAUUGCAUGUACAGGAUAGGUGGGAGGCUAGGAGAUGGUAACGCCAGUUGCCAUGGAGCCGCUGUUGGGAUACCACCCUUGCAGUAUUGGGUUUCUAACCAGCCGCCGUGACCCGGCGGUGGGACAAUGCCAGACGGGGAGUUUGACUGGGGCGGUCGCCUCCGAAAGGGUAUCGGAGGCGCUCAAAGGUUCCCUCAGAAUGGACGGAAACCAUUCGAAGAGUGCAAAGGCAGAAGGGAGCUUGACUGCGACACCGACGG
Molecule: ribosomal RNA, 1403 nt
Filed under: human gut metagenome
Description: bacterial LSU rRNA
Rfam family: Bacterial large subunit ribosomal RNA
Source: RNAcentral